GGGUUGUGAGGUUAAGCGACUAAGCGUACACGGUGGAUGCCCUGGCAGUCAGAGGCGAUGAAGGACGUGCUAAUCUGCGAAAAGCGUCGGUAAGGUGAUAUGAACCGUUAUAGCCGGCGAUGUCCGAAUGGGGAAACCCAGUGUGAUUCGUCACACUAUCGUUAACUGAAUACAUAGGUUAACGAGGCGAACCGGGGGAACUGAAACAUCUAAGUACCCCGAGGAAAAGAAAUCAACCGAGAUUCCCCCAGUAGCGGCGAGCGAACGGGGAGCAGCCCAGAGUCUGAAUCAGCUUGUGUGUUAGUGGAACGGUCUGGAAAGUCCGACGGUACAGGGUGAUAGUCCCGUACACCAAAAUGCACAGGUUGUGAACUCGAAGAGUAGGGCGGGACACGUGGUAUCCUGUCUGAAUAUGGGGGGACCAUCCUCCAAGGCUAAAUACUCCUGACUGACCGAUAGUGAACCAGUACCGUGAGGGAAAGGCGAAAAGAACCCCGGCGAGGGGAGUGAAAAAGAACCUGAAACCGUGUACGUACAAGCAGUGGGAGCACCUUUAUGGUGUGACUGCGUACCUUUUGUAUAAUGGGUCAGCGACUUAUAUUCUGUAGCAAGGUUAACCGUAUAGGGGAGCCGCAGGGAAACCGAGUCUUAACUGGGCGUUAAGUUGCAGGGUAUAGACCCGAAACCCGGUGAUCUAGCCAUGGGCAGGUUGAAGGUUGGGUAACACUAACUGGAGGACCGAACCGACUAAUGUUGAAAAAUUAGCGGAUGACUUGUGGCUGGGGGUGAAAGGCCAAUCAAACCGGGAGAUAGCUGGUUCUCCCCGAAAGCUAUUUAGGUAGCGCCUCGUGAACUCAUCUUCGGGGGUAGAGCACUGUUUCGGCUAGGGGGUCAUCCCGACUUACCAACCCGAUGCAAACUACGAAUACCGAAGAAUGUUAUCACGGGAGACACACGGCGGGUGCUAACGUCCGUCGUGAAGAGGGAAACAACCCAGACCGCCAGCUAAGGUCCCAAAGUCACAGUUAAGUGGGAAACGAUGUGGGAAGGCACAGACAGCCAGGAUGUUGGCUUAGAAGCAGCCAUCAUUUAAAGAAAGCGUAAUAGCUCACUGGUCGAGUCGGCCUGCGCGGAAGAUGUAACGGGGCUAAACUGUGCACCGAAGCUGCGGCAGCGACACUAUGUGUUGUUGGGUAGGGGAGCGUUCUGUAAGCCUGCGAAGGUGGCCUGUGAGGGUUGCUGGAGGUAUCAGAAGUGCGAAUGCUGACAUAAGUAACGAUAAUGCGGGUGAAAAGCCCGCACGCCGGAAGACCAAGGGUUCCUGUCCAACGUUAAUCGGGGCAGGGUGAGUCGACCCCUAAGGCGAGGCCGAAAGGCGUAGUCGAUGGGAAACAGGUUAAUAUUCCUGUACUUGGUGUUACUGCGAAGGGGGGACGGAGAAGGCUAUGUUAGCCGGGCGACGGUUGUCCCGGUUUAAGCAUGUAGGCGGAGGUUCCAGGUAAAUCCGGUACCUUAUUAACGCUGAGGUGUGAUGACGAGGCACUACGGUGCUGAAGUAACAAAUGCCCUGCUUCCAGGAAAAGCCUCUAAGCAUCAGGUAACAUCAAAUCGUACCCCAAACCGACACAGGUGGUCAGGUAGAGAAUACCAAGGCGCUUGAGAGAACUCGGGUGAAGGAACUAGGCAAAAUGGUGCCGUAACUUCGGGAGAAGGCACGCUGAUAUGUAGGUGAAGCCCCUGCGGGUGGAGCUGAAAUCAGUCGAAGAUACCAGCUGGCUGCAACUGUUUAUUAAAAACACAGCACUGUGCAAACACGAAAGUGGACGUAUACGGUGUGACGCCUGCCCGGUGCCGGAAGGUUAAUUGAUGGGGUUAUCCGUAAGGAGAAGCUCUUGAUCGAAGCCCCGGUAAACGGCGGCCGUAACUAUAACGGUCCUAAGGUAGCGAAAUUCCUUGUCGGGUAAGUUCCGACCUGCACGAAUGGCGUAAUGAUGGCCAGGCUGUCUCCACCCGAGACUCAGUGAAAUUGAACUCGCUGUGAAGAUGCAGUGUACCCGCGGCAAGACGGAAAGACCCCGUGAACCUUUACUAUAGCUUGACACUGAACAUUGAGCCUUGAUGUGUAGGAUAGGUGGGAGGCUUUGAAGCGUGGACGCCAGUCUGCGUGGAGCCAACCUUGAAAUACCACCCUUUAAUGUUUGAUGUUCUAACGUUGGCCCCUUAUCGGGGUUGCGGACAGUGUCUGGUGGGUAGUUUGACUGGGGCGGUCUCCUCCCAAAGAGUAACGGAGGAGCACGAAGGUUAGCUAAUCCUGGUCGGACAUCAGGAGGUUAGUGCAAUGGCAUAAGCUAGCUUGACUGCGAGCGUGACGGCGCGAGCAGGUGCGAAAGCAGGUCAUAGUGAUCCGGUGGUUCUGAAUGGAAGGGCCAUCGCUCAACGGAUAAAAGGUACUCCGGGGAUAACAGGCUGAUACCGCCCAAGAGUUCAUAUCGACGGCGGUGUUUGGCACCUCGAUGUCGGCUCAUCACAUCCUGGGGCUGAAGUAGGUCCCAAGGGUAUGGCUGUUCGCCAUUUAAAGUGGUACGCGAGCUGGGUUUAGAACGUCGUGAGACAGUUCGGUCCCUAUCUGCCGUGGGCGCUGGAGAAUUGAGGGGGGCUGCUCCUAGUACGAGAGGACCGGAGUGGACGCAUCACUGGUGUUCGGGUUGUCAUGCCAAUGGCAUUGCCCGGUAGCUAAAUGCGGAAGAGAUAAGUGCUGAAAGCAUCUAAGCACGAAACUUGCCCCGAGAUGAGUUCUCCCUGAGACUUUAAGUCUCCUGAAGGAACGUUAAAGACGAUGACGUUGAUAGGUCGGGUGUGUAAGCGUAGCGAUACGUUGAGCUAACCGAUACUAAUGAACCGUGAGGCUUAACCUUACAACGCCGAAGGUGUUU
This 2933-nucleotide ribosomal RNA is filed under the name Klebsiella aerogenes. RNAcentral's name for it is "bacterial LSU rRNA". It matches the Rfam family "Bacterial large subunit ribosomal RNA". Lineage: Bacteria; Pseudomonadati; Pseudomonadota; Gammaproteobacteria; Enterobacterales; Enterobacteriaceae. The record is from RNAcentral.